AUGAUGCAGGAGGUGGGGCAAAUGAAGAGCUGUGGCAGGAGAGGAGGGCAGGUAGUUGGAGGCAAGUCCACAGGUACCACAGUGAUGUUCCUUUUGGAAGAAAACGAAGAAUAUCAAAACCUCAUUCUUCCCAAACCCCAUGAAUUUGGACAUUUAUACUUCACUUGCUGCUUUGAGAACCACCACUAACAUUUUUUUGUUUUAGUUUUCUAUACGUUUUGUAUCAGUUAGCUAUUACAGCAAAACCACUCAGAGUAGCUGCAGCAAUAAAACACGGAUUUUUGCUCACCUGUCUAUGAGUUGGCUGGGUGUUUAUUCUGGUCUCAGCUGGACCCACUUAUGCAGCUGUGCUCAGCUGUGGGUUGGGUGGCCACUUAGUUGAUCAUGCCUGGGUUUGCUCACAUAUUUGGGUAUUAGCUAGUUGUGGGCCAGUCUAGGGUGGCUUCAUUUAAAACAACUGAACUCUGCUCUAUGUGGUCUCUUGUCCUUCAGUAGGUAAGAUCCAGUUUGUUCAUAUGGUAGUGACAGUUUCUAAGAGAAUGAGCAGAAGUGUGCAAAGCCCUUGAGACCUAGACUUGAAACCUGAAGAUCAUCAAAACCAAUUAAAAUCCAAGGGGUGAGAAAAUAAACAUCACCUCUUGAUGCGAGAAGCUGCAAAGUCACAUUGCAAAACGUGGAUACAUGAAGAAUGGUGGCCAUUCUUGAAAAAGAUUGAUUACAGGGUUUUGUUUUGUUCUAAAGAGAUAACCUUAAAAUUUAAAAUAUGGUCUUUUAUUAAAAUGUUAAAAGUGUUUCAUGCUACACGUCUUUCCUUCCCAUUUUUAUAACUGUGGCACCUUCUGCCAUCCUCCCUUCACAUAUCAUUCACCUAUAUGUUCCAGUUAAUAAUCCACUGCUUUGGAAGAGGACUUAGAAUUUGGACAGAAUGCAAGGAGUGAUUUUUCCACCUGACCAAAAUAGAGACAUAGAGGCUGGGUUUACAGUGUGUGUGAGGAGGAUGGUUUAGAUAAAUAAAUGAAAGGAAAAAAACCCAAGAGAUAAAAUUACCUCUGUAAAAUGAGGGGGUGAGGUUGGAUGACUGUUAAAAUACUAUCGGCAUGGCACAUAUUGAACUUGAAAUUUAUAUAGUCUUUAUGAUUUACUCUGCCUCUUUUCUUUUUCACAGAAAUUCUUCCAAAAUUAUAGAAUGGGGCAGGCAGCCAGAGGAACAAGACGUAAAACGGGCUUUUAAAGUAUAAAACAGAAUCAUUUGGGAUAGGAAAUCAUUAGAGCAGGAAAGAAUAGUAACAUUUGCUGAAUUCCUCUGAUAUGCUAAGUUUUGAACUCCUCAUCUGACAUUGUAUUUUAUUUUUCCCAUAACCUAUGUACCAGGUAGUACCAUUCCCAGUUUAUACAUGAAGAAAUGGAGAUUCAGUAAUGUUAAAAAAUGUUCCCAAGUCUCACUGUUAGUGGAAGCUUUGCUUUUGUUUAACCUUGAAAAUCAGUGAUUGGAGGGUGGGAAAGUGAAUGCGGACAGCAGCAGACUCUGUAGGCAGCUGAUGGAGGAGGAGAUGUGAGCUCUGUGCAAUGACUGGGAGCCUCUUAUAGACCUGCCUGACAUCUCCUUAAUCUUUGUAUCCCAACUACUCAGCACAGCACCCAGCACAUGACAAAUAUUCAUGUUGGAGAUAUAAUCAAGCAUUAUUCUGCAAGCACACUAGGGCUCUGUCAACGUGUAACUAUUAGAACAUGACUGAACUGAUGUGGCGUGUCUUAGUCUAUUUGUGCUGCUGUAACAGAAUACCAUAGGCUGAGUCAUUUAUAAAGAUGAUAGGUUUAUUUCUUACUGUUAUGGGGCCUGGG
Molecule: long non-coding RNA, 1842 nt
Filed under: Callithrix jacchus (white-tufted-ear marmoset)
Lineage: Eukaryota; Metazoa; Chordata; Mammalia; Primates; Cebidae
Description: lncRNA (ENSCJAG00000078668.1)
Source: RNAcentral